Non-coding RNA from Myotis brandtii (Brandt's bat), 72 nucleotides. The record is from Rfam. Lineage: Eukaryota; Metazoa; Chordata; Mammalia; Chiroptera; Vespertilionidae.
GGCGGUUCUCUGAUGCACCCCAGAAACAGGCUCCCACCUCUCUGGUUCUGGGUGCAUCACCCAGGAACCACA